CACACACACACACACACACAUAAACACGGUGAGGAAAGUAAAGAGGAAGAGAGAGAACACGUACAUAAGGAAAAUGAUUUUUGUUUUUUCUUCCCCUCUUUU
RNAcentral lists this non-coding RNA (102 nucleotides) under Bigelowiella natans. The record is from RNAcentral. Lineage: Eukaryota; Cercozoa; Chlorarachniophyceae.